AUACGGAGGAUCCGAGCGUUAUCCGGAUUUAUUGGGUUUAAAGGGAGCGUAGGCGGACUAUUAAGUCAGCUGUGAAAGUUUGCGGCUCAACCGUAAAAUUGCAGUUGAUACUGGUCGUCUUGAGUGCAGUAGAGGUAGGCGGAAUUCGUGGUGUAGCGGUGAAAUGCUUAGAUAUCACGAAGAACUCCGAUUGCGAAGGCAGCUUACUGGACUGUAACUGACGCUGAUGCUCGAAAGUGUGGGUAUCAAACAGGAUUAGAUACCCUGGUAGUCCACACAGUAAACGAUGAAUACUCGCUGUUUGCGAUAUACGGCAAGCGGCCAAGCGGAAGCAUUAAGUAUUCCACCUGGGGAGUACGCCGGCAACGGUGAAACUCAAAUGAAUUGGCGGGG
RNAcentral lists this ribosomal RNA (393 nucleotides) under uncultured bacterium. RNAcentral describes it as "partial 16S ribosomal RNA". It matches the Rfam family "Bacterial small subunit ribosomal RNA", at positions 523 to 918 of the family's 1533-position model. The record is from RNAcentral.